AAGUCGUAACAAGGUUUCCGUAGGUGAACCUGCGGAAGGAUCAUUACAAAAAUCCAAAUUAUCCAUUUGUGAAUUAGCCUAGCUGUGGUUAGGCGAGCUGCUUGGUGAAGGUCUUUGACUGGAACCUUGCGGGUAAACAAACUAUUUGUAGUCAUGUUGAGAGAACUAAUGCUAAACAACUUUUAACAGUGGAUCUCUUGGCUCUU
Molecule: unclassified non-coding RNA, 206 nt
Filed under: fungal sp.
Lineage: Eukaryota; Fungi
Description: partial internal transcribed spacer region
Rfam family: Eukaryotic small subunit ribosomal RNA (bases 1-46)
Source: RNAcentral